Molecule: long non-coding RNA, 909 nt
Organism: Patella vulgata (common limpet)
Lineage: Eukaryota; Metazoa; Mollusca; Gastropoda; Patellidae
Exons: 7
Source: RefSeq, a predicted model, not a curated record
CUUCUUCUUAUUCUGACAACAAUGGAAGGACGAUUAGCUGUGGUGCUUUGUUUGAUAGUUGCAGUAUAUGCUUCGCCAAAUGCGACGCCAAUGAUAACCGCACCCGGUUGUGGGGUUGCAACUGGACGUGCACCAGAUCCAUUUAUCGUUGGUGGAGCUGAAGUCAGUCCCAGAUAUAAAUGGCCUUGGAUUGGAAGUCUCAGACGAUACGGUAGCCAUAUGUGUGGCGGUUCCUUGAUAAAAAGUCCGGCUGGUAAACACUUCUUCGUUACAGCUGCACACUGCACGUAUGGAACAAACGCUAAUACUUUCUCUGUAAAAUUCGGAUCCCAUUUCCGAACUGAUGAUUUGUCAGAAAGCAGUGCCCUUAAUGUGGAUGUUAGCAGGAUUAUCAACCACCCUAGCUAUAACCCAAACACCAUAGAAAACGACAUCUCAAUUCUCGUCCUUAGCAGUUCUGUUGUGGAAUCCAGCGAAAUUAGCCCCAUAUGUUAUGCCAGCAGAGAUCAUUACGCUAAUGAAAUGUGUACUGUAAUUGGUUGGGGAACAUUGGCUGAAUCAGGUUCUCUUGCUAGUCGUCUACAAGAAGCUUCUAAACCUAUUUUAUCCGAUUCUCAAUGUUCUUCUGAUCUUGGUUCUAACAGUUACUACUCUAACUCUAUGCUGUGUUCUGGUUAUGCUGCUGGUGGAGUAGAUACCUGCCAGGGUGACAGUGGAGGACCAUUUUUCUGUCAACGAAAUGGUGUAUGGGAACUCGUUGGUGUUGUAAGCUGGGGCUAUGGAUGUGCACGACCUGGUAGACCAGGAGUUUACGCUGAUAACUGGGAUCUUAGGUCCUGGGUUAGCUCCACCAUAAACUCAAACUAGAUGUUAAACCAUUCACUGAAUAAAGAUUUUUAUAUCUUUUCA